GAGUUGAUCGUGGCUCAGGACGAACGCUGGCGGCGUGCCUAACACAUGCAAGUUGAGCGGAGAUAUGGAGAGCUUGCUCUUAUAUUUAGCAGCGAACGGGUGAGUAACACGUAGAUAAUUUGUCCUAUAUUGGGGGAUAGGCCGAUGAAAUUGGAUUAAUACCGCAUACAGCUAUUUAACCGCAUGGGGAGAUAGUGAAAGGGGAGACUUGAUAUAGGAGGAGUCUGCGGCACAUUAGCUAGUAGGUGAGGUAAGAGCUCACCUAGGCGACGAUGUGUAGCCGGUCUGAGAGGAUGAACGGCCACAAUGGAACUGAGACACGGUCCAUACUCCUACGGGAGGCAGCAGUGGGGAAUAUUGCACAAUGGGGAAACCCCUGAUACAGCAACGCCGCGUGAGUG
RNAcentral lists this ribosomal RNA (401 nucleotides) under uncultured bacterium. RNAcentral describes it as "bacterial SSU rRNA". It matches the Rfam family "Bacterial small subunit ribosomal RNA", at positions 9 to 407 of the family's 1533-position model. The record is from RNAcentral.